This 433-nucleotide ribosomal RNA is filed under the name uncultured bacterium. RNAcentral describes it as "partial 16S ribosomal RNA". It matches the Rfam family "Bacterial small subunit ribosomal RNA", at positions 29 to 506 of the family's 1533-position model. The record is from RNAcentral.
AGCGAACGCUGGCGGCAGGCCUAACACAUGCAAGUCGAACGAACCUUUCGGGGUUAGUGGCGGACGGGUGAGUAACACGUGGGAACGUGCCUUUAGGUUCGGAAUAACUCAGGGAAACUUGUGCUAAUACCGAAUGUGCCCUUCGGGGGAAAGAUUAAUCGCCUUUAGAGCGGCCCGCGUCUGAUUAGCUAGUUGGUUGAGGUAAUGGCUCACCAAGGCGACGAUCAGUAGCUGGUCUGAGAGGAUGAUCAGCCACAUUGGGACUGAGACACGGCCCAAACUCCUACGGGAGGCAGCAGUGGGGAAUCUGGCGCAAUGGGCGAAAGCCUGACGCAGCCAUGCCGCGUGAAUGAUGAAGGUCUUAGGAUUGUAAAAUUCUUUCACCGGGGACGAUAAUGACGGUACCCGGAGAAGAAGCCCCGGCUAACUUCGU